Non-coding RNA from Ameiurus melas (black bullhead), 71 nucleotides. The record is from the annotation of a GenBank genome assembly. Lineage: Eukaryota; Metazoa; Chordata; Actinopteri; Siluriformes; Ictaluridae.
GCACACGGUGGCUUAGUGGUUAGUGGGAGCCUCACACCUCCAGGAUCCGGGGUUUGAUUCCCGCCGGGGCC